Molecule: ribosomal RNA, 433 nt
Filed under: uncultured bacterium
Lineage: Bacteria
Description: bacterial SSU rRNA
Rfam family: Bacterial small subunit ribosomal RNA
Source: RNAcentral
GAUGAACGCUGGCGGCGUGCUUAACACAUGCAAGUCGAACGAUUAAGACGGCUUCGGCCGUGUAUAGAGUGGCGAACGGGUGAGUAACACGUGACCAACCUGCCCCGCGCUCCGGGACAACCGCUGGAAACGGCGGCUAAUACCGGAUGCUCCGGGGAGGCCCCAUGGCCUCCCCGGGAAAGCCCUGACGGCGCGGGAUGGGGUCGCGGCCCAUUAGGUAGACGGCGGGGUAACGGCCCACCGUGCCCGCGAUGGGUAGCCGGACUGAGAGGUCGACCGGCCACAUUGGGACUGAGAUACGGCCCAGACUCCUACGGGAGGCAGCAGUGGGGAAUUUUGCGCAAUGGGGGCAACCCUGACGCAGCAACGCCGCGUGCGGGACGACGGCCUUCGGGUUGUAAACCGCUUUCAGCAGGGAAGAAAUUCGACGGUA